UGCAGCCAACAAUCCAAAUACACUGACCUAAAAUUUCCACGGUGGUGUGAUUUGUUGGCUGCCCUGGACUUUCUCCAUUGUUGCUGCAGCUGUCAUUGCGGGGGAAGGGGCUUUCUGGAGUUCAGACUUUCAGAGCAGAAAGAAACGAAAACAGCUCAAAGAGUUGAUUAUGUGCGGACUGCUGACAGAGCUUUAGCAUUCUAUAGUCACUGGCUCUGAAAUACUUGUAAGCUCAACGAUUUCAAGGGAAUUUUCUUUUGAGAGCACAAAGCACUCUCACCCAGAGUGUGAGCUAUCGGGCAGAAUACUUAACUACGCAGCUGUCAAUCAACAUUUCCCCUCUUGAUUGACAAACGUCCACGAAGUGCCUAGCACUGUGCUGGUUGCUGUGGAAGAUAUAAAAGAAAUAUAGCAGCUGCCCGGGAGUAGGACCCGGUAGAGGUGGGGCAUACUUAAAACCUUGGGAAGCCGGUUUGAGCCCACCCUCACCUCUGCUCGCUUCCUGGCUUGAUUACCUGUGUUUGGCAUAGAGAAGAAACUUCAUAAAUGCUUGUUGAUUGAUUCAAUUCCCCCAAUCCAGAAGAAAAGGAGUUGCCAAGAAUCUUUCUUCCAUCUGUGAAAGUUUGCUAACUCCUGUUUGGGGUGAGGAGAGGGGGAAAUAAAAAUAAAUCUAUGUUAGUUGAAAAAAAUUUAAUUUCAAACCAAAGUUGUUCAUUUAACCAGGAUGAAUUUACAUGAGAAAAAUGGACCUUCUCCUUUGUCUCUCUCAUGUAAUAAGUCUUGUUUACUUCCUUCAUAAUCAGUUUUGGAUCUGGCCAUUACUUUCCAGUUCCAGUGCCAUCUUUGUCAUCUCUUGACUGGAUUAUUCCAACAAUCUCCUAACUGGACUUUUUGUCUCCAGGCUGUUCCCACUUCCAUUUUAUUCUGUAUAUUGCUGCCUAACUGAACUUUCUCUGGGGAACACAGUGAUUUUUUUUUUGUCUGAUGGGAAAUUGGUCUCUUUUCAAUUUUUACCACUCAGCUCAGCCUCCAUGAUUUGCAUGGAACAUUAGGGGCAAAACAGGGUGGGGAAUUGGUAUGAGUCUCCUCAUUAAAACUUCUUUGAAUUUAUUAAAGUGGACCUCCUGAGGUGAUUUGCCCAGACUGUUGAUAUGAUAUGAAUUAGAAGGAAUUUCUUGACUAUAAAUCAGAUAAGGGUUGAAGAGAGUCCAAAAGAUUGGAGAAGAAUCAGCUCCUAAGACAAAAAAAUUUAAGGUCUUCUUUAGCCAGUUGGCUGUAGUUUGCAUAAAAAUAGAGCCAAAUUCUCACUGAGGUAUUCCUGCUCUCUGAGGAAGAACUUUUUAGCUGUAGAGGUUAGAGCUCUUUAAUCUCCUGCCUGGAGGUGACAGAGCUCAAAGCUCAGGUCCUUUGGGAGUCAAAGAGUCAAAAAUCAACCUUUCACUUUGGUCAAUUCCUGGCUAAGGGAUCCUUAUAACUAGUUUUCUUGUUAUGCUAUUUGUGUUUCUUUUCUAAAGGGAAAAAAGAGAGAAAGAUGAUUCAAUAAUUCCUGUGAUUAUCCAUAUAACCAGUUAUCACCUUGUAUAUGUGUCAUGGACCUUUUUGGCAAUCAGGUGAAGCCUAAGAAUCCCUUCUCAGAAUAAUCUUUUAAAAUAUAAACAAAAUACAUAGGAUUACAAAGGAAACCCAUUCUAUUGGAAUAUAGUUCCUAGAACCUUAGGUUAAAGAACAUUUGCUCUAAGAGGAAGGGAUCAUCAUUGUAUCUAAGGCCCAAAAGAUGAUAGAAAAGAAUGGCUCUGAAAAGAUGACCAUCAGAGAGUGACACAGCUGAGAGAUUAGAGAAGUAGAUGACCUCAACUCAGAGGAGGAUGUAGUAUUUUUAUUUUUUGAAAAUUUUAUUUGAUUAGAUGAUUUAGAAUAUUUUUCCAUGGUUACAAGACUCAUGUUUUUUUCUCCCCUAUCCCCAAGCCCCUCCCAUAGCUGAUACGCAAUUCCACUGGGUUUAACAUGUUCAUUGAUCAAGACCUUUUUCCAUAUUAUUAAUAUUUGUACCAGGGUAAUCAUUUAGAGUCAAGAUAUAGUAUUUUUAGAGAUAUGAGUUGCUUUGAGGAUGUAGAUACAUGGUCCUCAAAGUGUUCCCUCCUCUAUUUUUUUAAAUCCCUACCUUCCAUUUUAGACUCUAAGACUAGAUUCCAGGUUCCAAGGUGGAGGGGAGGUCAGAACUAGCAAUUAGGAUUUAGUGAUUUGCCCAGGGUCACACAGCUAGAAGUGUCUGAGUCCAGAUUUGAAUCCAGGACUUCUUGUCUCUGAGCCUGGCUUUCUAUUCACUGAGACACCUAGCUGCCCCUAUUCCUCCCCUACUGCUGGAGUAUAACCUGUGAGAGAGCAGAACUCUUGGUGCAUGAGGGAAUCAUUUCUCUCCAGAUGUUGCUAUGAUGUUUAAUUAAAUGUAUUUUGCUUUUAAUGUGUCUUCUGAUUGGUUGGUAAAUGAAAAUCAUUGAUGGGAAUGCAUGUACUAUGAUUUUGAAUGGAGGGUUACUCAUUCCCAUAAUUUGCUUUGAACUUAGGGUGAAGGAGAGAAGCCCUUAGGUGCUACAUUCCUAAAACAUCACUUCCAUUUCAUCACUCUCCAGCUCAAAAAUCUUCUAUGGCUUCCUAUUUCCUAUCUAAGAGCUUUCUUAACUUUUUCUCAUGCUACUUCUUAAAAUUAACUCUCUACUUUGGGCAGGCUUAUUUCAUUCAGUUGCCUUCCCUAGGGUUGGAGAUUUAGAACCUGAAGUGAUCUCAAAAGUUAUGUGGUUCAAAUCUCAUAACAAUUUCUAUGGUAUUAGUUAACCACCCCAGUUUUUUGCUAUAAGCAAAUAUAGCAAGGACCCUUUUCCCUCCCUCUACAUCUUUACUAUAUUAAUUUUUAAAAAUAAACCCUUAACUGUCUAUCUUAGUAAUAACUCUUAGACAGAGGGGCAAUGGCUAAGCAAAUGGAGUCUAUUAACUUGCCCAGGGUCACACAGCUAGAAAGUGUCUGAGGCCAGAUUUGAAUCUGGGUCUUCCCUACUCCAGGUCUGGCACUCUAUUUGCACCACCCAGCUGACCCUUUAUCUCUAUUUGUUGACAGUUUUUAUCAAUAACUUAUGCAGAGAAAAAAUUUGCUGAGAGGUGGCUAGAGAAAACUGCCACAGAGAAAGGAACUCUAGAUGAUAUCUGGCUUUAUACUGAUCAUGAACUUAGACUGUUCUUUCCAGAGAAAUGGCUAAUUCAAAGACUUACAGAAGUUGAAGAGAAGGUUUCCUCAAAGAAUGGUUCUCCGUUAGAGACUAAAAACUGAACACUAACAUGGAAUUAAAAGGAAUGACUUUUUUUUUUAUGGAAGUAAUUAUAUUUAAUAGUUGUUGGUUUUUUGUUUUUUUUUGUUUUUUAUUUAAACAUUAUUUUAUUUGGUCGUUUUCAUACAUUAUUCAUUGGAAACAAAGAUCGU
This is a non-coding RNA of Monodelphis domestica (gray short-tailed opossum), 3472 nucleotides long. The record is from RefSeq and is a predicted model, not a curated record. Lineage: Eukaryota; Metazoa; Chordata; Mammalia; Didelphimorphia; Didelphidae.